This 520-nucleotide ribosomal RNA is filed under the name uncultured Glomus. Its description in RNAcentral is "SSU rRNA". It matches the Rfam family "Eukaryotic small subunit ribosomal RNA", at positions 569 to 1091 of the family's 1831-position model. The record is from RNAcentral. Lineage: Eukaryota; Fungi; Glomeromycota; Glomeromycetes; Glomerales; Glomeraceae.
AGCAGCCGCGGUAAUUCCAGCUCCAAUAGCGUAUAUUAAAGUUGUUGCAGUUAAAAAGCUCGUAGUUGAAUUUCGGGAUCAAAUUGUCGGUCGUGCCUCGGUACGUACUGGUAUUAUUGGUUCCUCCCUUCUGACGAACCACGAUGUCAUUAAUUUGGUGUCAUGGGAAAUCAGGACUGUUACUUUGAAAAAAUUAGAGUGUUUAAAGCAGGCUCGCGCUUGAAUACAUUAGCAUGGAAUAAUGAAAUAGGACGUUUGACUCUAUUUUGUUGGUUUCUAGGGUCGACGUAAUGAUUAAUAGGGAUAGUUGGGGGCAUUAGUAUUCAAUUGUCAGAGGUGAAAUUCUUGGAUUUAUUGAAGACUAACUACUGCGAAAGCAUUUGCCAAGGAUGUUUUCAUUAAUCAAGAACGAAGUUAGGGAUCGAAGACGAUCAGAUACCGUCGUAGUCUUAACCAUAAACUAUGACCGACUAGGGAUCGGAUGAUGUUAAUUUUUAANGUACUUCAUUCGGCGCCUUAC